GGCGAACGCUGGCGGCGUGCUUAACACAUGCCAGUCGAACGGAAAGGCCCUGCUUUUGUGGGGUGCUCGAGUGGCGAACGGGUGAGUAACACGUAAGUAACCUGCCCUUGACUUUGGGAUAACUUCAGGAAACUGGGGCUAAUACCGGAUAGGAGCUCCUGCUGCAUGGUGGGGGUUGGAAAGUUUCGGCGGUUGGGGAUGGACUCGCGGCUUAUCAGCUUGUUGGUGGGGUAGUGGCUUACCAAGGCUUUGACGGGUAGCCGGCCUGAGAGGGUGACCGGCCACAUUGGGACUGAGAUACGGCCCAGACUCCUACGGGAGGCAGCAGUGGGGAAUAUUGCACAAUGGGCGGAAGCCUGAUGCAGCAACGCCGCGUGCGGGAUGACGGCCUUCGGGUUGUAAACCGCUUUCGCCUGUGACGAAGCGUGAGUGAUGGUAAUGGGUAAAGAAGCACCGGCUAACUACGUG
Molecule: ribosomal RNA, 468 nt
Filed under: uncultured bacterium
Lineage: Bacteria
Description: partial 16S ribosomal RNA
Rfam family: Bacterial small subunit ribosomal RNA
Source: RNAcentral